This 75-nucleotide microRNA precursor is filed under the name Brachionus plicatilis. RNAcentral's name for it is "Bpl-Mir-750_pre stem-loop". The record is from RNAcentral. Lineage: Eukaryota; Metazoa; Rotifera; Eurotatoria; Ploima; Brachionidae.
GCUAAAAGACUAGAGAUGACAAUGGAAAAAUUUAGUUCUUUGAAUCUGAAUGUCAGAUCUAACUCUUUUGGCAUU